This 522-nucleotide ribosomal RNA is filed under the name Coleodactylus septentrionalis. RNAcentral's name for it is "partial 16S ribosomal RNA". It matches the Rfam family "Bacterial large subunit ribosomal RNA", at positions 1842 to 2612 of the family's 2925-position model. Lineage: Eukaryota; Metazoa; Chordata; Lepidosauria; Squamata; Sphaerodactylidae. The record is from RNAcentral.
AGUAUGAGAGGUACGCCUGCCCAGUGAAAACUUUUAACGGCCGCGGUAUCCUAACCGUGCAAAGGUAGCAUAAUAACUUGUCCCCUAAAUAGGGACUAGCAUGAACGGCCAACUGAGGGCCCAACUGUCUCCUAUGACUAAUCAAUGAACCUGACCUCUCAGUUAAAAGGCUGAGAUAAAACCAUAAGACGAGAAGACCCUGUGGAGCUUUAAAACUACCACUUACACCCCCCCCCCAAGUGGCCUUUUUAAGUUGGGGCAACUACGGAAACAAACAAAACUUCCACGAACAGGACUAACCAUCCACACACCAACAGGUAAACAAACCAACAAUACAACCAUGACCCAGACAAAACUGAUCAGCGAACCAAGUUACCCCAGGGAUAACAGCGCCAUCCUCUUUAAGAGCCCCUAUCGCCAAGAGGGUUUACGACCUCGAUGUUGGAUCAGGACCCCCCAGUGGUGCAGCCGCUACUAACGGUUCGUUUGUUCAACGACUAAUGUCCUACGUGAUCUGAGUUC